Molecule: long non-coding RNA, 1936 nt
Filed under: Olea europaea (common olive)
Lineage: Eukaryota; Viridiplantae; Streptophyta; Magnoliopsida; Lamiales; Oleaceae
Description: long non-coding RNA (OEUR_LNC000739)
Source: RNAcentral
GCAGCCAAGGUUCAGUUAUCUGAUUUGGUGUCUAAAGUAUCCACCCAAUGCCUGAAUUCUGCAUUUUCAGGGAUGAAAGAACUGUCGGAUUUGUGCCUACAGCAAAUAAAAACAACUCAGCCAACGGAUUGUUCAACAGACAGCUGCUUAACCUCCUGUGAAGGCUCUCUCAAGGACCAAGAAUUGUACAAUAACCAAGUCGGAUCGAAAAUUUUGAAUUUUAGAGAAGCUAUAGAACCAAGGAAUCAUGACAAUGGACUCAGGCAGCAGAAGACUGAACUAAGGCUGUGUGAAAACCAGAAAGAGAGCACCAGAUUUCUUUGCGCAACAAAUGACAACGUGGAAAAAGCAUUUGCUCUAGAAGAAAACUCCAGAAAUUUAUCAAUGGCCAUUGGACCUCAGGGAGGACCAUGGAAUGGCAGCAGCAGCUGUUCAGAGGACAGAUUUAAAGAAGCUGAAGCUGAUGCAGAUGCAGAUGCUAAAUAUUUUGACCGAGAUGCUCAUAAAACAGAGAAUCAGAAGACGACGCCAGGGUCUAAACUACCAUACUUUACAACAGAACUGGAUCUAAACAUAGAUGACAAAAAUGAUGCUGCUUCAAGUUGCAAGAAAUUUGAUUUAAAUAGCUUCGGCUGGGGCUGAGAGGAAAAUAUUUUCAGAGAUGUUGGUAUUUUGCAUCAAGGAAGAAAGUUUAAAUUCAAUUUCAGAAACUGAAUUCUCUCAUUUGGUUAGGGAAGAUAAAAUCAUUGAGAUAAUUAAGGGUCUGCCACAUUUAAAUUUAGAGCAUUGUAACAUCAUGAGUUGUUCGUGCUUAAAUUUCGAAUCUAAUAUUAAGUUGAUGGUCGACAGCAAUAUAUGACUUCAAAUAUAUCUCUGCAAUUCUGUGUGUUAAACUCCUACAUAUUUACAUAGUUGGUCUCAAGCCUAGACAUGAGACAAGGGCUGCAACAGGUUGAUAGCAAGUGGUAGUUGACCUUUGUCACGAUAUGACUCCUCACUAACAUUUUGCUGUAUUAGUUGGAUUUUAUUUCUGGUAACCAGACAAUGAAAUUAGAAAUCAAUUAACAUGAUUGGACAAAAUUAGCUCAUCUUUUGGAUUUCCUUUGUUCCUACGUUCCUUUUCAUUUUUAUGUAAACUUCAAAAUAUCAACGAACUUCAAGUAAGACAAACUUAUAUGUUAUCAAUUGCUUUGGUUACUCGAAGACUAUUUAGUGAACUGAUGAAAAGCUUCUUCCCAUCUAAAACCACCAUAAACUCAAAACAUACAAUUAUCACUGCAUUGUCGCCCACAUUCACAAGCAAAGAAGAUAAUCUGUGUGUUUUGAUGCUUAAACUUUGACUGGAUUAGUGGAGCUCCAUUUAACUUCUAUAUCACCAGGUACGUCAUAGGCAUCCAAUUAAGCACUUGAAAUAGAUAACAAUUUGAUCAAUGAUCCACAAAAUUUUAUGGAUUAACUAGAACAGAAAAACAAACAAGUGCAAAUACUAAACACCUACCAACAUUCCUGAAAUCAGAUGUACGCUUCCUUUCUGAAAUUGGACGAGUUUGAGUAAUCCAUCAGAUUCAGACGUGAUCUUACAAAGCUCGGAUAGAAAUGAUAGAAUUCGUCCGUACAAGCAUCCCACAGUCUACCUCUUGAGGGUCGCCAUAGAUGCAAUAGAACGCCACCUUCACGGCUUCACCCGUACCUAAACACAGCAUUUUGUACAUAGAGAAUCCCCUCGAACUCUGUUUAAUGAGUGCAAGUGAACUAAUUGAUUUAAAUUAGCAAUUAAAGUGACGACCGUAUGAAUUGUAGAAUUAUGAAGAAAUUUUGAAUAAAUGCAAUUAUGCAAACGGUUGUAUUCUGGUACUUCUUGAGAUUAUGGUGAACUUGUGACAUUUGAAUUGAGAAAUUGUAUUCUAAUUUGAUAUAAUUCAAUCCAAAUUCGUUG